CCUACGGGAGGCAGCAGUCGAGAAUCAUUCACAAUGGGGGAAACCCUGAUGGUGCGACGCCGCGUGGGGGAAUGAAGGUUUUGGGAUUGUAAACCCCUGUCAUGUGGGAGCAAAUUAAAAAGAUAGUACCACAGGAGGAAGAGACGGAUAACUCUGUGACAGCAGCCGCGGUAAUACAGAGGUCUCAAGCGUUGUUCGGAAUCACUGGGCGUAAAGCGUGCGUAGGCGGGUUCGUAAGUCGUGUGUGAAAGGCGCGGGCUCAACCCGGGGACGGCAUAUGAUACUGCGAGACUAGAGUAAUGAAGAGGAGACCGGAAUUCUCGGUGUAGCAGUGAAAUGCGUAGAUA
This 347-nucleotide ribosomal RNA is filed under the name uncultured bacterium. RNAcentral's name for it is "partial 16S ribosomal RNA". It matches the Rfam family "Bacterial small subunit ribosomal RNA", at positions 338 to 696 of the family's 1533-position model. The record is from RNAcentral.